UCGGAUAUCAUAAAACUGCUUCACAUUUUGCUCAGGUUCUCUCUCUCUGGUAUGUCGUACACGUUAUGCGUGUAAAGCGGUUAUACGAUUAGUGUGAAAAUGACGAAUAUGGUAGGUACCUUGGAAUCGUGCAGUUUCGUCGCUAUACGGACAAUUGUUUAAACAUAUCCGACCGUGGUUUUUGGUCGUGCUCUUGUUUGUACGUACGCGAUGAAAGUAGUAUUAGUAAGCGACACGUGGCUGACGUUAUAACGGAAUGAUGACGAGUUGUUGUUACGUAUAGACGUGUGAAAAAUGUGAAGUCCCGUGUAUCUGCAGGCGUAUGUUCGGACUGCGUUUAUUUAUUUUAUUGUUUUUCUACUCCCGGGAAAGGAAUAUACGCGCAUAUCGUUAUCUCCUUACCUGGUACCAUUGUCUCGAUCUUGUACGACGAAAGUGUAAAAUAAUUUACGACGUCUUACGGAGAAUCAUCAGGAUAAAGAUUUUUAAAUUCCCCAUGCGGUUUAUGCAAUAAUUUUUAUAAUUAUAUACGUUAAACUUUAACGGUAAUUUAACCGUUUGAGUCAUAGCGGUAUAGGUAUUCUUACUUAACUGUUUUAUACUAGUAGGUUUUCAAUACUCGACAGUAAUUAUAGCGAUCAAUAUAAAUUGUUAUUGUGAGAAACAAACUGAUUGAAAGAAAUCGUGAAAAUUUACCUCUCUUCUUGUUAUAAAAGUUGACUUGGCACAAUAAUGUUUGACUCAAAGGGUUAACUAAAACAUUAUCGGCAAUCGUAUAUCUUAUUAUAAUUGUUUAUAGAUAUCGCGUGAUAAUUUUUCAAACCUCAUUCACAAGUUGGGCCAUAAUCUGGAUCCUGAUCGCGUAUACACGUGUUGUUCGUUACAAUUGUCAUUUAUCUGCGAAAACUGAAUGUGAGUAGACCCGAGACGAUGUAGAUAAAUCUAAAACAAACAUGAUACUCGAGUGCCUUACGUGUUCCGACUGAAAACAAAUCGCUACUUUUAAAUCCGCCGUUGUAAAAAUAAACAAUAUAUGUAUGUACUUUGUAAACUAUAAUAUACCGGGAUUAUCAAAAGAUUUGUAUGCUAGUAUCAUACAAUCGUGGAUU
Molecule: long non-coding RNA, 1109 nt
Organism: Neodiprion virginianus
Lineage: Eukaryota; Metazoa; Arthropoda; Insecta; Hymenoptera; Diprionidae
Exons: 2
Source: RefSeq, a predicted model, not a curated record